Long non-coding RNA from Oncorhynchus tshawytscha (Chinook salmon), 2988 nucleotides. The record is from Ensembl. Lineage: Eukaryota; Metazoa; Chordata; Actinopteri; Salmoniformes; Salmonidae.
CUCAGAUUGAUUCAGUUUCUCUCUGUCUGAAGGUAUAUUCUCUUGCUCGCAUUGAUUAAUUUUCUCGCUGUCUGAGGGUAUAUUUUCUCGCGCAUAUAGAUUCAGUUUCUCUCCGCCAGAAGUUAUAUUCUCUUGCUCAGAUUGAUUCAUGUUCUCUUUGCCUUGGGGUAUAUACUCUGGAACGGAUUGAUUAAUUUUCUCUCCGCCUGAAGUUAUAUACUCUGGCUCGGAUUGAUUUAGUUUCUCUCCGCCUAAAGGUAUAUUAUCUUGCUCAGUGAGAUUCAGUUUCUCUCUGUCUGAGGGUAUAUGUUCUUGCGCAUACAGAUUCGGUUUCUCUCUGCCUGAAGUUAUGUACUCUGGCUCGGAUUGAUUCAUUUUCUCUCCAUCUGAGGGUAAAUACUCUUGUUCAGAUUCAUUCAGUUUCUCUCCGCUUAAAGGAAUAUUCUCUUGCUCGGAUUGAUUCAGUUUCUCUUCGUCUGAGGGUAUAUAGUCUUGCUCGGAUUGAUACAUUUUCUCUUCUCCUGAAGUUAUAUACUCUGGCUCGGAUUGAUUCAGUUUCUCUCCGUCUGAGGGUAUAUACUCUUGUUCAGAUUGAUUCAGUUUCUCUCUGCCUGAAUUGAUAUAUUCUUGCACGGAUUGAUUCAGUUUCUCUCCGCCUGAGGUCGUAUGCUCUUGCUCAGAUUGAUUCAGUUUCUCGCCGCCUGAGGUCGUGUGCUCUUGUUCAGAUUGAUUCAGUUUCUCUCCGCCUGUGGUCGUAUGCUCUUGUUCAGAUUGAUUCAGUCUUACUGAGUGUAUCUGCUCUACCUCCUCACUGUAUAAUAUGUCUUGUGUCUGGGAAAGUUCCGUGUGAGACACAAUUUGAAGACUCAGUACUGACUCGCUCUCAAUCAUCUGCCCAUUAAAGUGUUCACUGUAACUGGAUAUAGAUAAAUUCUCUAACUCUUGCUCCACCAAUCUAUCAAUUCUUUCUUCAUUAUUGUCCUCAUCAGAGCACAUCAUGGAGUACUCUCCAGGUUCUGUAAGUUCCUCAUAGGAUUGUUCCUCUUCUGCCUCCUGAAUCAACUGAUCUACUGCAUUCUCCUCAUCGUUCUCCUGUGUAGCAUGCUCCUUUGUUUGGCUAGCAUCCACGUCGUCUUGGUGAGUGGAGCCCAUGUUACGUUCCUGAUCUAUGACAUCCCCUUCUGACUCUUCAUACAGAUCCUCCAUGGUGUCAAACUGUUUGGACUUGCCUUCGCCCCAGGUGCCUGAUCCUGUCUGGCAAACCUCCCUGUCCUGUUCACCAUCACUGGAGUCACUUUCUCCCAUGUGUGAAGCCUGAGUGUUGGCAUCCGUCUCGUCACUCUUGUAACGGAUCAGGGGGUGUGUGUCGGCCAGUGUGUUGUCCUGAGCGUAGCUGUCACCUUCUAGCUCAGCCCUCCAUGAAACAGAAGUAUUUUGACAGUAGUUUGCCUCAUCAUGAUCCUCUUUGUCAUUGUCGGAUAGAUUCCGUUUCUCUCUGCCUAAAGGUAUAUGCUCUUGCUCAAAUUGAUUCAGUUUCUCUACAUUUGAAGGUAUAUGUUCUUGAUCAGACUGAUUUGGUUGGGUUUCUCUGUUAUUCCACAUCUCUUCCUCUUUCAUAUGAUCCUUUCCUUCUUGAUCCUUUCCUUCAUCCAUUCUUUCUCUAAUUCCAUUCUCUUCAGUGUAUCCUCCCACUCUAUCCCAUUCAUCAUUUACAUCCCCAUUGGGGUGCAAUGCAUAUUGCAUCUCACGUUUAUUAUACAUAUCAUUUUCAUCAUCCCCUUUUGUGAAAUUUAUAUCACCUUCCUCCAGUCUUUCAACAUGAUGAAAUACCUCUUCUGACCAGUGAGAAGCUUGAGCAGAUUCAUAUGAGAUAAUCACCUCUCGGUUGAACUUAUCGAUUCUUUCUGUCACACAAUUUUCCUUAUUGAACCCUGCCAAUCUUUCACAAUCAUCCUUACCAUACCCAUAGGGGCGCAAUUCAUCUUCCAAUUGCUCCUCAUCUUUGUUAGACAUGUAGUUUUCAUCAUCCUCUUUUGUGAGAUUAAUAACAUCUUCCUCCACUCUUUUAACAUGGUGAAAUGCCUCUUCUGAACCGUGGGAGGCUUGAGUAGAUGCAUAUGACAUAUUGUCCUCUUGGUUGAACUCUUUUGGCUUGUUGUACUCAAAAGCUUGACUGCUUGUGAAGGUCUCAAAUGCAGGUUCUAGCACUGAUUUAGUUUCAGACUCCAAGCCUUCUUUCCCCACCCAUUCAGCGUCUUUCCUUGCUGUUUCGAGAUCUCUUUCCUCCAAUGCAAUCAUGGGACCGUAAGGCAGAUCUAGUAGAGGUUCCUCCUUUUCAGAAGACAUUUCAAAAGGUACAUCAUUAUCAUCAUUUGCCGAGAAAGCAGAAUGUGCCCCUGUCACUGAACCUGCUCUCUCAUCCCUCACUGAAGGGCUGUAGAGCUCUUGAGCAUCAGUGCUGAACACAGUUGGCAUACUGAAGCUGAUCUCAACCUGGUGACUCAUGGCAGGUUCCAGAACUGGUUUGUCUUUAGCAACCCAGGUUCUGACUAUGUUCUGAUCCUCUUCCUCCUUUUCUAAAUCCCACAUGGAUUGUUCCUUAUGGUCAGAACCAAGCCAAGAUACAACAUCAGCUCCUGCCUCUUCAGUGGGAGGUGAGAGAGGCUCAGCAUAGUUGACUUCUUCAUGGACAUCUUGGGGUCUGAAGUGGUCGACUGAAAUUCCAUCCUGUGGUACUUUGGGGUAAGGCGUUGACCAAAUAACCUGCCGGUUGGACCCUAAGUCAAAGUCAACAUGCUCUUCCUCUGUCUUUCGACAACUCUCAGGUGUUUCGUUCAGGGUUACCUGGUUUUGAGUCCAGAUUGGUGAUGCGGACAUCAUUGUUACAUUGGAUCGUGGGCUUGCUCUAUGGAUGGUAGAGAAGGGACUGAUCAUGUGACUGGUAGCCAGCUGUGUCUGGAAGCUUUGCUUAACCCCUCGAGAGCUGGG